This is a small nuclear RNA of Echinops telfairi (small Madagascar hedgehog), 107 nucleotides long. Lineage: Eukaryota; Metazoa; Chordata; Mammalia; Afrosoricida; Tenrecidae. The record is from Ensembl.
GUGCUCACUUCUGCCGCACACAUACCAAAAUCAGAAUGACCCAGAAAAGAUUAGCAAGGCCCCUGCACAAGGAUGGCACACGGAUUCAGGAGGCAUUCCAUGUUUUU